UGCCAGCCGCCGCGGUAAUACGAAGGUCCCCCGCGUUGUUCGGCAUAACUGGGCGUAAAGCGUGUGUAGGCUGCGCGGAAAGUCAAAUGUGAAAGCCAAGGGCUCAACCCUUGAACUGCAUUCGAUACUCCCGUGCUAGAGUAAUGGAGAGGUAAGUGGAAUUCUCGGUGUAGCAGUGAAAUGCGUAGAUAUCGAGAGGAACAUCAAUGGCGAAGGCAACUUACUGGACAUUUACUGACGCGCAGACAAGAAGGCUAGGGGAGCGCAAGGGAUUAGAUA
Molecule: ribosomal RNA, 279 nt
Filed under: uncultured bacterium
Lineage: Bacteria
Description: partial 16S ribosomal RNA
Rfam family: Bacterial small subunit ribosomal RNA
Source: RNAcentral